GGAAACUUCUGACCACAGAAAUGUGAACUCUGCUGGGGGCUUUCUAAAUGCCUUUUUCUAUUUUCAUUCUUACAGGGUGGUUGCAAACUGAGAAAUAGGUUGGGCUCAAAGUCCAAAACCACAAGUGCAAGUUGCAUCAAGCCUGUGCAAACUACAAACAACAGAACAGUUGCUCACAUUUCUUUUGUUCACAAAGGUCUUUUUGUUCCUCUAAAUGUAAGCAUUCUACUGUAUGGAGGUCUUUGAGCCCAUUCUGGUGCAUCAGAAUAAGACGUGGGAUGAAGCCCUGAACUACUGCAGACAGAACUACAUUGACCUGAUACCAAGUUACCCAAUUCAGCACAGUAUUCACAGCACUCAAGGAACCAAAGAAGGAGCCAAAGAAGAAUCCCCACCACCUCACCAGUGCCAGUCACAAUCAUGGAGGAGACCCUGCAGCUGCCAUGGAAUCCGGAGGGAAUAUGGAAGAGAGAGAGAAAAAAAAAAAAACCUUUUGGGGACUUAAGAGUAAUUUUUAUGACCAUAAUUGAGUACUAUAUAUAGUGUUACAAUUUGUUACUUUAAAUGUUAAAAGUAAUUUUAAUUCAAAUGCAUUGGACGUUUUAACCAAGUCAGUGGAAUUGUCAGUGUGAUAGCGUGCCUUCUCCGGUUUAAAUUUGAAGCUACAAUAGAAAUAUGCUGUUUUGAAUGAAUGUUUUUUAUGUCUAUAUAAAGUGGUUGCAUAUUGUUAAAACAAGUCAUGGUAGUGAUAUCUUUGUAGCACUGACGACUCUAUAAAUCAGUGGCAAAGUAAAGCAAAUGUCCGGCGAAUAUCGUACCUAAAACUAACUUUGCAGCACUAGAAAAGCUAUUAUUGCGGUGCCUGGGAGGUGACAUGGUAGGUUCACUAAGUUUUGUCAUGGCCACGACAUAAUAAAUUGUGGGAAACUGAUAAUAUGUCAUGGCCACGAGAUAUUAAUUUGUGGGAACGUCAUAUUAACUCAUAGAACGUGAUGUUAUGUUCUGGCUACAAGACCAUUUUGUCGAGGUAACCACAUCCUUAUGUUGUGGCUUCGAGAUGCUAUGUUCAGGGAACAACAUCCAUUUGUCAUGGCCACGACUUCUUAUGUUGAGGGAACAACAUAUUUUUCUCGUGGUCAUGAGUUUAAUGCGUAAACAAACCUGCGUGACCAUAGCAACUUGAAAUACUUGAAGGGUGACCUUUUGAUUGGCCAGGGCUAUACUGCAUUUUUACUGGUCUCUUAUUUAAAAAAAAAAAAAAAGCAUUUAAG
This is a long non-coding RNA of Cyprinus carpio carpio, 1271 nucleotides long. Lineage: Eukaryota; Metazoa; Chordata; Actinopteri; Cypriniformes; Cyprinidae. The record is from Ensembl.